UACGAAGGGGGCUAGCGUUGUUCGGAUUUACUGGGCGUAAAGCGCACGUAGGCGGAUCGUUAAGUCGGGGGUGAAAUCCUGGAGCUCAACUCCAGAACUGCCUUCGAUACUGGCGAUCUCGAGUCCGGAAGAGGUGAGUGGAACUCCUAGUGUAGAGGUGGAAUUCGUAGAUAUUAGGAAGAACACCAGUGGCGAAGGCGGCUCACUGGUCCGGUACUGGACGCUGAGGUGGCGAAAGCGUGGGGAGCAAACAGGG
This 256-nucleotide ribosomal RNA is filed under the name uncultured bacterium. RNAcentral's name for it is "partial 16S ribosomal RNA". It matches the Rfam family "Bacterial small subunit ribosomal RNA", at positions 524 to 777 of the family's 1533-position model. The record is from RNAcentral.